GCCCGUCACACCAUGGGAGUCAGCAACGCCCGAAGUCAGUGACCCAACCUUCAAGGAGGGAGCUGCCGAAGGCGGGGCAGGUAACUGGGGUGAAGUCGUAACAAGGUAUC
RNAcentral lists this ribosomal RNA (110 nucleotides) under uncultured bacterium. Its description in RNAcentral is "partial 16S ribosomal RNA". It matches the Rfam family "Bacterial small subunit ribosomal RNA", at positions 1392 to 1500 of the family's 1533-position model. The record is from RNAcentral.